CCUACGGGAGGCAGCAGUGGGGAAUAUUGGACAAUGGGCGCAAGCCUGAUCCAGCCAUGCCGCGUGUGUGAAGAAGGCUUUCGGGUUGUAAAGCACUUUCAGUGGGGAAGAAGGCUUACCGAUCAAUACCCGGUAAGAAGGACAUCACCCACAGAAGAAGCACCGGCUAACUCCGUGCCAGCAGCCGCGGUAAUACGGAGGGUGCGAGCGUUAAUCGGAAUUACUGGGCGUAAAGCGCGCGUAGGUGGCUUGAUAAGCCGGUUGUGAAAGCCCCGGGCUCAACCUGGGAACGGCAUCCGGAACUGUCAGGCUAGAGUGCAGGAGAGGAAGGUGGAAUUCCCGGUGUAGCGGUGAAAUGCGUAGAGAUCGGGAGGAAUACCAGUGGCGAAGGCGGCCUUCUGGACUGACACUGACACUGAGGUGCGAAAGCGUGGGUAGCAAACAGGAUUAGAUACCCUGGUAGUCCACGCCGUAAACGAUGUCGACCAGCCGUUGGGUUCCUCGAGGACUUAGUGGCGCAGUUAACGCGAUAAGUCGACCGCCUGGGGAGUACGGCCGCAAGGUUAAAACUCAAAUGAAUUGACGGGGGCCCGCACAAGCGGUGGAGCAUGUGGUUUAAUUCGAUGCAACGCGAAGAACCUUAC
Molecule: ribosomal RNA, 644 nt
Filed under: uncultured Halomonas sp.
Lineage: Bacteria; Pseudomonadati; Pseudomonadota; Gammaproteobacteria; Oceanospirillales; Halomonadaceae
Description: bacterial SSU rRNA
Rfam family: Bacterial small subunit ribosomal RNA
Source: RNAcentral